AUUCACUAGUGAUUAGGAUAGAGGCCUACCAUGGUUUUAACGGGUAACGGGGAAUUAGGGUUCGAUUCCGGAGAGGGAGCCUGAGAAACGGCUACCACAUCCAAGGAAGGCAGCAGGCGCGCAAAUUACCCAAUCCCGAUACGGGGAGGUAGUGACAAUAAAUAACAAUACAGGGCUUUAUAGUCUUGUAAUUGGAAUGAGUACAAUUUAAAUCUCUUAACGAGGAACAAUUGGAGGGCAAGUCUGGUGCCAGCAGCCGCGGUAAUUCCAGCUCCAAUAGCGUAUAUUAAAGUUGUUGCAGUUAAAAAGCUCGUAGUUGAAUUUCGGGGUUAGUAGGUUGGUCAUGCCUCUGGUAUGUACUGGUCUCACUGAUUCCUCCUUCCUGAUGAACCGUAAUGCCAUUAAUUUGGUGUUGCGGGGAAUUUGGACUGUUACUUUGAAAAAAUUAGAGUGUUUAAAGCAAGCUAACGCUUGAAUACAUUAGCAUGGAAUAAUGAAAUAGGACGUUCGAUCCUAUUUUGUUGGUUUCUAGGAUUGACGUAAUGAUUAAUAGGGAUAGUUGGGGGCAUUAGUAUUCAAUUGUCAGAGGUGAAAUUCUUGGAUCUAUUGAAGACUAACUACUGCGAAAGCAUUUGCCAAGGAUGUUUUCAUUAAUCAAGAACGAAAGUUAGGGGAUCGAAGACGAUCAGAUACCGUCGUAGUCUUAACCAUAAACUAUGCCGACUAGGGAUCGGAUGAUGUUAAUUUUUUAAUGACUCAUUCGGCGCCUUACGGGAAACCAAAGUGUUUGGGUUC
This 795-nucleotide small RNA is filed under the name uncultured Rhizoglomus. Its description in RNAcentral is "SSU rRNA". It matches the Rfam family "Eukaryotic small subunit ribosomal RNA", at positions 314 to 1114 of the family's 1831-position model. Lineage: Eukaryota; Fungi; Glomeromycota; Glomeromycetes; Glomerales; Glomeraceae. The record is from RNAcentral.